AUCUAGCUGACAAGUUCCAAAUAGAACGUAACUUAAGUCUUGAAU
This 45-nucleotide non-coding RNA is filed under the name Schistosoma mansoni. The record is from RNAcentral. Lineage: Eukaryota; Metazoa; Platyhelminthes; Trematoda; Strigeidida; Schistosomatidae.